RNAcentral lists this transfer RNA (138 nucleotides) under Candidatus Jordarchaeia archaeon. RNAcentral describes it as "tRNA-Pro". The record is from RNAcentral. Lineage: Archaea; Promethearchaeati; Candidatus Jordarchaeia.
GGGGUUGUGGUCUAGCUUGGUAUGAGCCCUCGAGAAAUCCCACUCGAAGGGUACAAUUCCUGCCUGGGGCGCAGGCGUUCCCGAGUUCAAGAAACCAUCCUAGGGCUGGGUGGAUUGGAAAUCUCGGCAACCCCACCA